AUCAGAGGGUGACACGAAAAGAGCCAGUUUUUAGUUUCUGAUUUUGGGGGAAUGUUUCUGAUUGGGCGGUGGCUUUGGUAGGUUUGUGUACUUCAGAAAAACAAAUGGCACAAACUGUGGGUCCCAGAAUGGACCAAAGACCCGGGUCACUGCCACUGUCCAGCUGAGACUCUGAGACUAACGGGCUACCUCCCCCACCCGUGGCCCCCUGAGCCAUAGGACUGCUGAAAACCACUGAAUGUACAGCCCAGGUUGGGGUGGGGAGUUGCCCCUGGGGGAGGGGGCUUCUCCUUUUGUUUGGUGCUGUGGGGGGUGGGAGACUUGAGACUGAGGGACUGCCACCCCAGGUAGACACGUGUUCCUUGGGGUGGAGGGGCUGAGGAGGGCCGCCUCCCUCUCUAACCCCAGCCAUGGCCCCUCCUCCCUCCUCACCCCUAUCCGUUCUGACUGUAAGUCCAGCUCACCUUUGCCUUCAAUAUGUAACCAAAGGAAAACUCAACACUGUCUCCACCGCUGUCUGCCCACCCAAGCACCUUCUUCCUCCCCGGAUCAGAAGGGGAGAAGAGGCUGGGGGUGGGGAUGGUGGGGCCUGAGUGAAUGGUUCUACAACUGUACCCCCAAAACCCUCUCUGUGGUCUUGGAAGGGGUCCUGAGAGGCGGGGUGAGGCCAGGCUGCCGGGCUGGGAGUAUGCACACUGUGUCUGUUAUGCACAUGAGUGUUUCUCUGUCGAAGACUCUAGUAACUGCUCCAGCAGGGAGGCCCCUCCUCCUUCCCUCUCAGCCGUUUCUCACCCUCUCCCCACACCCAGUGUUCAUUCCCUGCCUCCCCUUCCCACCGCAAAGGAAAAUAGCCUUACAGACCCUAGCCCAGAAACCCUACUCCGGGGCAAGCCAGUAUGGCCCCA
RNAcentral lists this long non-coding RNA (905 nucleotides) under Rattus norvegicus (Norway rat). RNAcentral describes it as "long non-coding RNA NONRATT025461". The record is from RNAcentral. Lineage: Eukaryota; Metazoa; Chordata; Mammalia; Rodentia; Muridae.